GAUGAACGCUGGCGGCGUGCCUAAUACAUGCAAGUCGAGCGAAUGGAUUAAGAGCUUGCUCUUAUGAAGUUAGCGGCGGACGGGUGAGUAACACGUGGGUAACCUGCCCAUAAGACUGGGAUAACUCCGGGAAACCGGGGCUAAUACCGGAUAACAUUUUGAACCGCAUGGUUCGAAAUUGAAAGGCGGCUUCGGCUGUCACUUAUGGAUGGACCCGCGUCGCAUUAGCUAGUUGGUGAGGUAACGGCUCACCAAGGCAACGAUGCGUAGCCGACCGGAGAGGGUGAUCGGCCACACUGGGACUGAGACACGGCCCAGACUCAUGCGGGAGGCAGCAGUAGGGAAUCUUCCGCAAUGGACGAAAGUCUGACGGAGCAACGCCGCGUGAGUGAUGAAGGCUUUCGGGUCGUAAAACUCUGUUGUUAGGGAAGAACAAGUGCUAGUUGAAUAAGCUGGCACCUUGACGGUACCUAACCAGAAAGCCACGGCUAACUACGUGCCAGCCGCCGCGGUAA
This 515-nucleotide ribosomal RNA is filed under the name uncultured bacterium. RNAcentral describes it as "partial 16S ribosomal RNA". It matches the Rfam family "Bacterial small subunit ribosomal RNA", at positions 28 to 523 of the family's 1533-position model. The record is from RNAcentral.